GAGACCUUAGUUUAAUGGUAAAAUUCUAGACUUUUAAUCUAUGAUAUGUGGGUUCGAAUCCCGCAGGUCUUA
This 72-nucleotide transfer RNA is filed under the name Cadophora sp. M221. It matches the Rfam family "tRNA". Rfam says of the family: Transfer RNA (tRNA) molecules are approximately 80 nucleotides in length. Their secondary structure includes four short double-helical elements and three loops (D, anti-codon, and T loops). Lineage: Eukaryota; Fungi; Ascomycota; Leotiomycetes; Helotiales; Ploettnerulaceae. The record is from Rfam by way of RNAcentral.